Molecule: transfer RNA, 61 nt
Filed under: Oribatula sp. XFX
Lineage: Eukaryota; Metazoa; Arthropoda; Arachnida; Sarcoptiformes; Oribatulidae
Description: tRNA-Trp
Source: RNAcentral
AGAGCUUUAGGUUAAUCAAAACCUUAUGUCUUCAAAACAUAAAAAGCUAACGCAAGCUUUA